AUGAACGCUAGCUACAGGCUUAACACCUGCAAGUCGAGGGGAAACGACAUCGAAAGCUUGCUUUUGAUGGGCGUCGACCGGCGCACGGGUGAGUAACGCGUAUCCAACCUGCCCAUCACUUGGGAAUAACCUUGCGAAAGUAAGACUAAUACCCAAUGACAUCCCACGAAGACAUCUGAAUGGGAUUAAAGAUUUAUCGGUGAUGGAUGGGGAUGCGUCUGAUUAGCUUGUUGGCGGGGUAACGGCCCACCAAGGCAACGAUCAGUAGGGGUUCUGAGAGGAAGGUCCCCCACAUUGGAACUGAGACACGGUCCAAACUCCUACGGGAGGCAGCAGUGAGGAAUAUUGGUCAAUGGGCGAGAGCCUGAACCAGCCAAGUAGCGUGCAGGAUGACGGCCCUAUGGGUUGUAAACUGCUUUUAUAAGGGAAUAAAGUGGGUCUCGUGAGACUUUUUGCAUGUACCUUAUGAAUAAGGACCGGCUAAUUCCGUG
This 491-nucleotide ribosomal RNA is filed under the name uncultured bacterium. RNAcentral describes it as "partial 16S ribosomal RNA". It matches the Rfam family "Bacterial small subunit ribosomal RNA", at positions 29 to 507 of the family's 1533-position model. The record is from RNAcentral.